Phasianus colchicus (ring-necked pheasant) is the source of this 1046-nucleotide long non-coding RNA. RefSeq lists it as uncharacterized. The record is from RefSeq and is a predicted model, not a curated record. NCBI's taxonomy places the organism in Eukaryota, Metazoa, Chordata, Aves, Galliformes, Phasianidae.
CUCAUUUAAGGGCUGGAAGUGGAGGCAGGGGUCUGUUAUUGGAGGUCCUUGUGAAACUGUGGUCUUCUGAAGCCCCUGUUAUUUUUCUCAUUGGCCGCAGAACCAUCUGCUGGUGUCACCACUCCUGGUCCCUUGGAAAUGGCCUUGUAGAGCAUGAGUCUCUUUCAGAGUUUCUUCAGAAGUAAAUAGGUUCUGAAACUUUCGUGUUGCUCAGGACCCUAAAAAUCUCAGAUCCUUAAAUCCUGUUCCCACAUCAGGAACACUUUUUACAGGGUGGGCCUAUCGACCCACAGAGUGCUGUGAGGAGUGGGUACCAGGACUGGAGGACAAAAAACUGCAGUUGAAGAAGUGGCUGAACAGAGGGUCCAAGUUGGCACUGUUGGUGAAGAACAAACUGGGAUACGGGCCAUCUGGACACAGUCCUGUCCCUCACACAAGCUGUCACCCAGGGAUUGCUCUGGCAGCCGUGGCUGGCUGGCAUGUCCAGGAGUCUCUAUGUUCACAGCCAGAAGGGCAGAUGGCACAGGAUUCACUACAGUGACUUUGCAGCACCUGGUGCCACCAUUUGGGGGUGUGGGGUCCCGUGGAGCCAGGUGAGCCUUGCUGUAUGCAAUGCAGUGUCAUUCAAUUGAGUGCCACAUGGCUGCUCUGCCAUGCUGACCCAGCAAGCUCUCAGACACCUUCAGUAUCACUGGUGCAAACAUUUGGGAUGGGCGUACUCCUUUCCAGCUGGGCUUGUAGUGUUGGGCCCUGCCAAAGAGCUGCCUGAAGUGAGGGAGGACAGUGGAACUCAGCUGACAUCACUUCAGCAAUGCAUUUGCAGUGACCGAUGUCUUCAGCUCACUGCCCUUGGUGUCCUGGGUUGCUCAAGAAAAGGAUAUGAAGAAGAGACAUUGGAAACAUUGAUUGCUCUGAUUGCAUGCCUAAACAUUGGGCAUUGGUUUGCUCAUGGAACAUUAUUAGCAUUUCACCAUCCCUGUAACGAUGCUUUUUUUAUAUAACACUUGUGAUAUGGAAUUUGUCAAAAAUUAAAAUGCUUUUGGGUG